GACGAACGCUGGCGGCGUGCCUAAUACAUGCAAGUUGAGCGCUGAAGGUUGGUCCUUGUACCAACUGGAUGAGCAGCGAACGGGUGAGUAACGCGUGGGGAAUCUGCCUUUGAGCGGGGGACAACAUUUGGAAACGAAUGCUAAUACCGCAUAAAAACUUUAAACACAAGUUUUAAGUUUGAAAGAUGCAAUUGCAUCACUCAAAGAUGAUCCCGCGUUGUAUUAGCUAGUUGGUGCGGUAAAGGCUCACCAAGGCGAUGAUACAUAGCCGACCUGAGAGGGUGAUCGGCCACAUUGGGACUGAGACACGGCCCAAACCCCUACGGGAGGCAGCAGGAGGGAAUCUUCGGCAAUGGACGAAAGUCUGACCGAGCAACGCCGCGUGAGAGAAGAAGGGUUUCGGAUCGUAAAACUCUGUUGGUAGAGAAGAACGUUGGUGAGAGUGGAAAGCUCAUCAAGUGACGGUAACUACCCAGAAAGGGACGGCUAACUACGUG
RNAcentral lists this ribosomal RNA (497 nucleotides) under uncultured bacterium. RNAcentral describes it as "partial 16S ribosomal RNA". It matches the Rfam family "Bacterial small subunit ribosomal RNA", at positions 28 to 507 of the family's 1533-position model. The record is from RNAcentral.